AUUGUGUUAUGUAAAAUACAUUAUUAAAAUUAAUUUCACCUGUUUCUUUUUCCUUUUCAAAAUGUGGUUACCAGGACAUCUUAAAUUGCAAAGAGGCUCUCAUUACAUUUCCAUAGGCCAGCACUGCACUUCUCCCUUGCCACUCUUCAUUAACACAUGAGCAAAGGAGAGGACUGAGUGGCCCAGAUGGAAAGCAGAAAUGCAGACAGAGGCCUGUGGAAGAAGAAUCUUAAAAUAACUAAGCAACUCCAAGAAAACAAGUGAGGAUUUAUUGGAAACAACUGCCUUGAAAGAAGGAAAAAACACUCCAACUUGUUCAAAGCACUUUAUUCUGAUUUCGCCUUUGACCCAGAACUUAUCUAGAGAAAAUUUGAGAAGAUAAUACAGAAAGCUCAUAUACUUCAAGCUAUGGGAUGAAUUGUGUUCAACAAAGAAGUUUCUGAUAAGAAAUCUGCUGUAAUUCUCAUCCUUAUUCCUUGAGGAAAGAACCUUUCCUGGCUGAAGUCAGAGGCUGAGGCCAGAGGAAGAUGUGACUAUAGAAGAAUGAUCAUACGAUUGCAAUAUUGCUGGUCUUGAAGACAGAGGAAGGAUGUGGGUUACAUCUAGAAACUGGAAAAGGCACCCACACCCUUGGAGCCCGAAACCAUGCCAUGCACAUGUAACCAACCAGCUACAUGUGAAGGUCACAUAAAGGUGUUCUUGUCCUGGCUCUAGUUAAGGUUCCAGCUCUCAAUCAGCAUCAAUUGUGGAAAAUGGGAGUGCAUGAGCUUUUAGAUGAUUUCAGUCCCCUGCCUUUGACACCAAGCAGAACUGAGACGAUCUUUCCACCGAGCCCUGGUCAAACUGCAGAUUCAUGAGCAAAAUAAACACCAUCAUCACUGAAGCAACAUUGCAUGUGGGGUGAUAUGUUGAGGAAGCCAUAGAUAAUCAGAGAAAGCUCCUUUUCUUUUUGAGCAAUACUAUUUGCAUAGGAGAGAGACAAAGCUGCAUGGACUGGCAACUUCCAUGACCAAAAAAGAUGUCAUUUUCUAAGGGCUUGAGUGGGAGGUGGCCCUGACAGCAUCUGCAUGAGCCAGAGAUGCACUCACACUUUCAUUAUUGCUUGAGGGUGCCAAGAACUGUAGCAGUAAGAGCAGAAGCAGAAAUGAAGAACACGAAGGAUGCUAUGGAGUGAGAGAAAAGUCCAUGCUUGCGAGAAUCCAAAGACACCCUGUGAGGACGCCCCAAAAUACUCGAGGAAGUGUAUAAAGAUGGUGCCUUCACAUAAACUGAACAUACGGCCGGCAAAGAGCACCCCUAUUCCAUCAUCCAAGUUCUCCUUCCUUAGCUGAAGUGAAAACAUUUGAAAUUGAUGAUACAAAGUGCUGGGGAGGGUGGAGAGAAAUGGCCCCUGUCUAAGCUAUAUGGAGAGUGAAUAGCAAGGCAGUUUGCCAAUAUCUAUCACUUGUUAAAUCCACAUACACUUUGCUCCAGGAAUUAGAAUUUCAGGAAUUUAUCUUAAAACUGUUGUAACAACACAUCUAUGAAGAGGUUUAUUGUAGCUUUGCUUACAGUGACUAAGUAUCAGAAACAACCUAGAUAACCGUCAGUGGGAACUGGUUGAAUAAUUUGUUUUAUCAACAUGUAGGAAAAUAUCUAAUCUCUGUAGAGAAUGAGGCAAACUUUUACAAACUUUGUAAGAUGUAAUUCUGAGUAAAAAUAAACAUAAGAACAAAAAAAUGAAAAUAACAAUGACAUGAUUUAGAAGAGUGUAUAAAAUAAAAUACAAAAGACACACGUACACAACUCAGAAUUACAGUGAAAAUUUUGGAAAGAUAAAAUGGAAACCAUUGUAAUGGUUACAGCUAGUAUUCUGGUAAAAAAGAAACAUAUUUUCAAGAUACUGUUCAGUACCAUUUGAAGUUUUUAUUUAUUUCAUUUUUAAACCAUGUAUUACAUUUUUUAAAUUAAAAGAAAGCAAAAGCUAAAAGCAAUAUGAACACAGAAAAGUCAGUAUGAGGUUGUCAAUACAUGAAGUUUGAAAGUGCAGACUUUUCAAAACUGCAUCACAGGAAAACUAAGGAAUAUCUACAUUUUGGACAGCAAAUUGCAUCCCAGCACAGAGAAUAUUUCUUGAAGAAAGCGGAUGGGUUUGACUUAAGGACUUGAGGGCUGGGGAAUUUUGCCACAAAACUCUAUUUUUUUCUUUCCCAAAGUGCGUGCAACCCUGGGGUUAACUACAUUCAAUGUUUUAUCAACUCACCCUUUCAUACACUCUGCUAUACUACUUUGAAACCGAAUUUAGGCUACUUUGCAUCAGCCAGUGAAAAGCCAAUUUCAAAUUGACACAUAUGUUGUUGUUAUCUGCUGGUCAACAGUUCUGUUUUAGCAGGUUGUCAUCUUUGUUUCUGUUUUUGUGAUCUUGUUGCUUUUAUUUUUGAGACUAUUAUUUUGAUUCUGUUGCCCAAAGCUUCUGUAGAAAAAAAUUUCACAGGGAGGGAGCAGCUGCCAAGAUCCACACCUUCUCCCCUCCACACCAACUCCAUCAUCUUCAACAACUGCCAACCUAUUCAUCCUGCUUCAGUUGGAAGAGCUAAACUUUUUGUUUAUUUUUGGAUUCAAGAUAAAAUUUUAUUCAAAAGAUGGAAUCCUAUAAUAAAACACUCUUGGAAAAUAAUCUUUAAUUGCAGUUUGCAUAUAAUAUUAUUUCAAAUUGAAUAUGAUACAGACAAAUUAAACGGCUAAUGCCAGUGUUAAAAAAUGCAAGUUUCCUAAAUGUAAUGUAAUUGAGAUAAAGACAGUAUUUGUUAGGCUUGCAAAGAAGAGACUAUUUAAGUAGAAGUAUGAGGUAGAGCUAAGCACAUGGCUUUUGGGGCCAGAAUGCCUGGGCUUAGACCUUAGUGCUGCUAAUUAUUGGCUAUGCAAACUUGGGCAAUCAUUUACACAUUCUGUGCUCUGCAUAUAUGACAUAGAAAUGUUCCUGGUGCUAGUGAUAUCACAUAGCUUUGUUAUGUAAUUUAAUCAAUUACUUGAAGGACUUAGACCAUGCUCAGUGCACAGUAAGCAUUAUAUAAAUAUUAGCUACUGUCAUUACCUUUAAUCAGGUGCUCCUUAUUAGGCUUAAUACUAUGUUCAAAGGUUAAUAUGCAUGAAAUAUUGGAAACAUAUUAAUAUUAUUUGGAGUUUUAUAAUCUACUUUGGCUUUGGGGGAAAUGAAUCACUCAUGAUAUGAAAAUCAAUAAUUCAACUUCUACACAUUUAAAUUCCAUAUAUAUUUUCAGGACACACUAAAUAACACAUUAGAAGCCUUUCUGCUCAAGUAUCUUAGUCAUUUUCUAGACAUAAUUUACAUACAGUAAAGUCCACAAAUCAGUUAUACAGAUGCAGACACCUAUGUAACCACCACUCAGAACACAAGAGAGAACAUUUCCAGCAACCAAGAAGGCUCCCACCUGCUCCUUCUCAAUCAAUAUCCCUAAAACAGUGAACCCUCUGACCUCUACCCUUUAAUUAGCUUUUCCUGUCCUUAAGGUUCAUAUAAAUGAGCUCAUUCAGUGAGUUCUCUUUGUGUCUGGCUCCUUUUGCUUGGCAAAUCUGUGAGUCCCAUCAAUGUCGUAUGAUAUACUACAAUCAUUUGCUCUAUUCUGUUGAUGGACCUUUGAGUUGCUUCCAGUUUGGGGCUAUUUGAAUUAAACAUUUUUGCGGAUCACGAGGUCAGGAGUUCAAGAACAGCCUGGCCAACAUAGUGAAACCCCGUCUCUACUAAAAAUACAAAAAUUAGCAGGGUGUGGUGACACGUGCCUGUAGUCCCAGCUAUUCAGGAGACUGAGGCAGGAGAAUCGCUUAAACCCAGGAGGUGGAGGUUGCAGUGAGCCAAGACCACACCAUUGCACUCCAGCCUGGGUGACAGAGUGAGACUCUGUCUCAAAAAACAAAACAAAACAAAACAACAUUUUUGAGCAUUUUUGUACGUGUCUUCUGGUGAAUACACAACUUGCAUCUCUUGAGGAGGGAGAUUUCUGAAUCAUAAUGUAGGCUUUUGUUUAGCACAACAGCCCACCAGUUUUUCUUUGCAUUUCGUAAGGCAAGUUGCACCAUUCUUGUCCCAGAUUGGAGGCCAACUUUUCUUCAGCAAUGUGGCAGGGUGGCCUGUACUAUGGGUGUAUUAGCCUGUUCUCAUGCUGCUAACAAAGACAUACCUGAGACUGGGUAAUUUAUAAAGGAACGAGGUUUAAUUGACUCACAGCUCCACAUGGCUGGGGAUUCCUCACAAUCAUGGCGGAAGGCAAAUGAGGAGCAAAGUCACGUCUUACAUGGCAGCAGGCAAGAGGCCAUGUGCAGGGGAACUCCCCUUUAUAAAACCAUUGGAUCUCAUGAGACUUAUUGACUAUCACAAGAAUGGUGUGGGAAAGAGCCACCCCCAUGAUUCAAUUACCUCCCACUGGGUCCUUCCCAUGACACAUGGGAAUUAUGGGAGCUACAAUUUAAGAUGAGAUUUGGGUGGGGACACAGCCAAACCAUAUCAAUGGGCAAGUUCAAUAAGCAAUGAAUGCUUAAGUACCCACCAGAGCACUGAAGCCACAGAGGUAGGAGGACCAAGAAUAGGCAUCUUGGCUGGUGACAUUCACUCAGACGUCAAGAUCCAAAUCUACAGUUUCUAUAGAGGAAAGCUUCCACUGGCAGCCAGGCCCCUGCCUUCAGGGAUGCCUCAGGCCCUGAGAGUUCACCUCUUCCUCCUGGCAAUGUCAAGUUCCACAUUUCUGAGCCAGGCAGAGGAAAUUACUUGUGAAUUUAUGACAGAGAAAAUAUUCUUUAAACAGAAUCUUCCCUGAUUAUUGGAGCAAAUUUGGCUGCUAGGAACUGCUUCUCCCUAUUAGCUCAUUGGGAACAGAGGGGAGAGCCUCUCACUCUGCUUAACCCCCUAUGGCUCUGUUCCUUGCCAGAGAAGGGGCCCAAUAAAUGCUUGACAAGUUAAAUGGAAAUGAUUUUUCCCCCUUUUAAAUGUCUCCUCACUAUGGCAUGUCAUUUAUACAGGACGAAGCUUUUAUUACAUUCAUCCUCUUUCCUCCUACCUAAUCCUCUUUUCUUUCAUCCUCCAUCCACCUGUCCUAUCGCAUUUGGGACUCAACAUGUGACAUGGAAUAAUAGUGGUUAAAGCAUUAGUUUAAGGGCCAAAAUGCCCAUGUUCAAACCCUGUUAUGCCCCAUAAUAGCCACUAGAUCUUUAUCAAAUAACUGUACUAUAUCACAAUUUUUUGUGCAAAUAAAUAAGUUAAUAUAUAUAGAAGUGCUUAGAAUUAUGCUGGGUUAAGGCCUACGUAAGUGUUACCAAAUAUUAUGUGAGAACCUACAGGGGAAAAAAAAGAAGGGAACCUCUGUUUAGCCAGAGUUCCUCUAUAGAGGUCUUCUACUCUGAAAACAUCACCCUUAAUUACUCCCAAAACAGUCUGCAAUAGUGAAGGAUACCAACCAGUAAUCCCUCAUGUCUAAUUAUACCCUAAAAACUUGCAAGCACCUUAUAUUCAGAAUAUAUUUGAAUCCUUACAGGAACCUUUUGAAAAAGAAGAAGAGGUAUUAUCCCUAUUUUGCAGGAACUAAAGUUCUUGGGCUUUCUAUCACGCAACCAUCUAAUCACUCAUUCACCCAUUCACUGAUAUAGAGAUUGUGUUAAGCCCCUCCCAAUCCCAGUCCCCAUCCCCCGCACACUGUGUGCUUCACCCAAUGCUCCUGCCUGGUCAGCCAGAGCCCAGGUCUUCUAAUAGCCAUCCUGCUCUAGUCCUACCCACCAGACCCCAGCCCUCUGUGAGCUUUUAUUCGACUACUCACUUCUCCAUCUCUCUUUUCUACCUCUUCCUCAUCCAGACUUUCAUCACCUGAACAUCACAUUCACUGCAUUUAAGUUGAAUGGCUUCCUAACUUAAUAACUUACAUAAAAAUUUUGUAUUUUAUUGUAUACUAUGUGUUUAAUAUUUAGCAGAAAGAAUAACAGAUAGAAAAAAUGAAAGAGUAAAUGAAAAUACAGAUAUACAAUAAAUGAAAAAGAGAGUCUAUAUUUUACCAUUCUGGAUAAUUGCUAUAUCUCUAGAGCAGAUACGUGUAUGUGUAUGUAUAAAUUUUAACAAAAUUGGUAUUGGAAUACACAUAACAUUUUAAAACAUACUUGUAAACUUUAAUAUCUAUCUUUCCAUGUCAAUACAUAUUUAUCAACCAAAUCAAUUUUAAUUGACUGAACAAUGUUGCACAGUAUAGAUAUCCAUUACUUAAUUUGACCUGUUAUUGAACAGUAGGUUAUUUCCUUUUAUAGAAAUGUUUUGCUAGUAUAAACAAUGCUAAGAUAAACAUCCUUGUAUAUACUUUUAUGUUCAUAUCCUUAAUGAUGUACUUUAAAUAAAUUCUAACUGG
Molecule: long non-coding RNA, 6380 nt
Organism: Gorilla gorilla gorilla (western lowland gorilla)
Lineage: Eukaryota; Metazoa; Chordata; Mammalia; Primates; Hominidae
Exons: 8
Source: RefSeq, a predicted model, not a curated record